This 343-nucleotide unclassified non-coding RNA is filed under the name soil metagenome. RNAcentral's name for it is "partial contains 5.8S ribosomal RNA, internal transcribed spacer 2, and large subunit ribosomal RNA". The stretch from base 1 to 120 matches the Rfam family "5.8S ribosomal RNA", at positions 35 to 154 of the family's 154-position model. The record is from RNAcentral.
GAUGAAGAAUGUAGCGAAAUGCGAUAAGUAAUGUGAAUUGCAGAAUUCAGUGAAUCAUCGAAUAUUUGAACGCACAUUGCGCCCGCUAGUAUUCUGGCGGGCAUGCCUGUCCGAGCGUCAUUUCAACCCUCAAGCCCCCGGGCUUGGUGUUGGGGAUCGGCGAGCCUCCGCGCCCGCCGUCCCCUAAAUCUAGUGGCGGUCUCGCUGUAGCUUCCUCUGCGUAGUAGCACACCUCGCACUGGGAAACAGCGCGGCCACGCCGUUAAACCCCCAACUUCUGAACGUUUGACCUCGGAUCAGGUAAGGAUACCCGCUGAACUUAAGCAUAUCAAUAAGCGGAGGA